This 264-nucleotide ribosomal RNA is filed under the name uncultured Anaerolineaceae bacterium. RNAcentral describes it as "partial 16S ribosomal RNA". It matches the Rfam family "Bacterial small subunit ribosomal RNA", at positions 1105 to 1382 of the family's 1533-position model. The record is from RNAcentral. Lineage: Bacteria; Bacillati; Chloroflexota; Anaerolineae; Anaerolineales; Anaerolineaceae.
UCGUCGUAUGUUAUAUGUGUCAUACGAGACUGCCGGUAAAAAGACCGGAGGAAGGUGAGGAUGAUGUCAAGUCAGCAUGACCUUUAUAUCCAGGGCUACACGCACGCUACAAUGGUCUGUACAAUGGGUAGCCAAGCCGCGAGGCGGAGCCAAUCCUGAAAGCAGGCCUCAGUUCAGAUUGCAGUCUGCAACUCGACUGCAUGAAGCCGGAGUUGCUAGUAACCGCAGGUCAGCAAUACUGCGGUGAAUACGUUCCCGGGUCUU